RNAcentral lists this ribosomal RNA (501 nucleotides) under uncultured bacterium. RNAcentral's name for it is "partial 16S ribosomal RNA". It matches the Rfam family "Bacterial small subunit ribosomal RNA", at positions 30 to 523 of the family's 1533-position model. The record is from RNAcentral.
AUUGAACGCUGGCGGCAUGCCUUACACAUGCAAGUCGAACGGCAGCACGGGUGCUUGCACCUGGUGGCGAGUGGCGAACGGGUGAGUAAUAUAUCGGAACGUACCUUAUUGUGGGGGAUAACGCAGCGAAAGCUGUGCUAAUACCGCAUAAUCCCUAAGGGGGAAAGCGGGGGACCGUAAGGCCUCGCGCAAUUAGAGCGGCCGAUACCUGAUUAGCUAGUUGGUGAGGUAAAGGCUCACCAAGGCAACGAUCAGUAGCUGGUCUGAGAGGACGAUCAGCCACACUGGGACUGAGACACGGCCCAGACUCCUACGGGAGGCAGCAGUGGGGAAUUUUGGACAAUGGGGGCAACCCUGAUCCAGCAAUGCCGCGUGAGUGAAGAAGGCCUUCGGGUUGUAAAGCUCUUUUGUCAGGGAAGAAACAGCAGCUCUAACACAGUUUGCGAAUGACGGUACCUGAAGAAUAAGCACCGGCUAACUACGUGCCAGCAGCCGCGGUAA